This 274-nucleotide ribosomal RNA is filed under the name uncultured bacterium. RNAcentral's name for it is "partial 16S ribosomal RNA". It matches the Rfam family "Bacterial small subunit ribosomal RNA", at positions 523 to 796 of the family's 1533-position model. The record is from RNAcentral.
AUACGGAGGGUGCAAGCGUUACCCGGAAUCACUGGGCGUAAAGCGCGCGCAGGCGGCUAUUUAAGUUGGAUGUGAAAGCCUACGGCUCAACCGUAGAACUGCAUCCAAAACUAUUAGACUAGAGUGUGGGAGAGGAAGAUGGAAUUAGUUGUGUAGGGGUAAAAUCCGUAGAGAUAACUAGGAAUACCAAAAGCGAAGGCAAUCUUCUGGAACACUACUGACGCUGAGGCGCGAAAGCGUGGGGAGCAAACAGGAUUAGAAACCCUAGUAGUCC